Molecule: ribosomal RNA, 495 nt
Filed under: uncultured bacterium
Lineage: Bacteria
Description: partial 16S ribosomal RNA
Rfam family: Bacterial small subunit ribosomal RNA
Source: RNAcentral
GACGAACGCUGGCGGCGUGCCUAAUACAUGCAAGUAGAACGCUGAAGGAGGAGCUUGCUUCUCUGGAUGAGUUGCGAACGGGUGAGUAACGCGUAGGUAACCUGCCUGGUAGCGGGGGAUAACUCUUGGAAACGAUAGCUAAUACCGCAUAAGAGUAGAUGUUGCAUGACAUUUUCUUAAAAGGUGCACUUGCAUCACUACCAGAUGGCCCUGCGUUGUAUUAGCUAGUUGGUGGGGUAACGGCUUACCAAGGCGACGAUACAUAGCCGACCUGAGAGGGUGAACGGCCACAAUGGGAAUGAGACACGGCCAAGAAUCCUACGGGAGGCAGCAGUAGGGAAUCUUCGGAAAUGGACGGAAGUCUGACCGAGAAACGCCGCGUGAGUGAAGAAGGUUUUCGGAUCGGAAAGCUCUGUUGUAAGAGAAGAACGAGUGUGAGAGUGGAAAGUUCACACUGUGACGGUAUCUUACCAGAAAGGGACGGCUAACUACGUG